RNAcentral lists this ribosomal RNA (301 nucleotides) under uncultured bacterium. RNAcentral's name for it is "partial 16S ribosomal RNA". It matches the Rfam family "Bacterial small subunit ribosomal RNA", at positions 509 to 808 of the family's 1533-position model. The record is from RNAcentral.
CAGUAGCCGCGGGAAUACGGAGGGUGCAAGCGUUAUCCGGAUUCACUGGGUUUAAAGGGUGCGUAGGCGGAUCUGUAAGUCAGUGGUGAAAUCUCCAGGCUUAACCUGGAAACUGCCGUUGAUACUAUAGGUCUUGAAUUUUGUGGAGGUUAGCGGAAUAUGUCAUGUAGCGGUGAAAUGCAUAGAUAUGACAUAGAACACCAAUUGCGAAGGCAGCUGGCUACACAACUAUUGACGCUGAGGCACGAAAGCGUGGGGAUCAAACAGGAUUAGAUACCCCGGUAGUCCCUGUCCUUAUACC